This 353-nucleotide long non-coding RNA is filed under the name Fukomys damarensis (Damara mole-rat). RNAcentral describes it as "lncRNA (ENSFDAG00000029276.1)". Lineage: Eukaryota; Metazoa; Chordata; Mammalia; Rodentia; Bathyergidae. The record is from RNAcentral.
GAACCUUGUGCUUGUGAGGCAGGCAGCUGAACCACUGAGCUAAAUCCCUGGCCCUCCAUUGGCUUUUAAAAGGCAGAAAUUCUUGGGAGAGGAUCAUUUUAGGUAUUUCGAAGGAUGUUCUCCAACUUGUAAUCAUUCCCAGGAGUGGUUUGUUUUCCUUCAUCCUACUUCACACAUUAGUCAUCGAUCGAUGAGAAGCCGCGCGUAGGUUGCCUACUCCAAGGAUAGAACCAUGAGGAAGAGUGUCUGAUUCAGAGCAGGAACUGAGACCCUGGAACCACCCUGCUCAACAUGGGAACCACUAGCCUUGUGUGACUAUUUAAAUUUAAAUAAAAGUAAAAAUUCAGAGCCGG